Helianthus annuus (common sunflower) is the source of this 1035-nucleotide long non-coding RNA. RefSeq lists it as uncharacterized. The transcript has 2 exons. NCBI's taxonomy places the organism in Eukaryota, Viridiplantae, Streptophyta, Magnoliopsida, Asterales, Asteraceae. The record is from RefSeq and is a predicted model, not a curated record.
UCAAAUAACUCACAGAUCCAUCAUCAUCAUCUUCAAAUUAUCAUCAUCAUCUUCAAGUAACUACGGUGGUGGUUAUUAUUCCUAUGGCUCCUCCACCACUAGCCGCCGCUCCUCCCCCACCGCAACCACCCACCCCCUUCUUCCUUCAACCCACAAGAACAUAUCUGAAUCCAAACAAAGCAUAAAGAAGAUUGUACAGUUGAUUCAAAUCACAAGCCACUAAUCGAUCCUUACAAAUCAUCUAUCUGUUUGAAGAAGGUAUUCUUCUUCCUUCAAUCCCUAAUUUUAUUUGCUCCCUUCUUUGUGUUUCAGUUACAGAUAUCGAUUUGUUCGUUCAAACCCAAAAUCUUCCAAACACACUUAACCCACACAGUCUUCGUUCACCCCUUUCUUCUCCAAACCCUAAAUCUGAAACCCUAACCCUAACUCUACUGAAUCGCCAAAUUAUCAUCCGAUUUCAGUUCCAAAUUAGCAAUGCAACGAAUCAUCCAACAGGUAUAAGAAGGAAGUUGAAGGUUCCAAUGUGAUUCGACAGGAUUUGGUUUAUCGCUGGUAGAACAUGUUGAUUUUGGUGUUGUUAAUAGCAAUGUGAUUCGACAGGACGAAGUUUCUCUCAUGGAGCAUCUAACAUGUGCAUUAGUACGAUUAUCAUUCGCUACAAUACAUUCUACAGCUGAAAAUUCAAUGGAACCGGUACAGAGAUUUGUGGCUUCACAAGUGUCCUGUAUGAUUGUGUUUGUAUUAUCUGAAGCAUUGAAUCUACAUCAUUCUCUCUAAACAGACAUACUGCACUCGAUUCAGUCUGUUGGGAAACAAACAAGAAGCCAUUGCAUCUUACACAGACCUUAUCAAGUGAAGUCUGCCUUAUGCAGUAAUAAAGAAUCUGAUAGCAGUUUACUUGCUGCAUUUCAGUUUGUGAUCUUGAGUUAAUUUGAGGUGUAGUAAAUUGACUUUGGCUUUUUUUUCUUGUUUUUUGUGUAAAACCAUUACAAUGGUAAUUAAGAGUAAUUUGAGGUGUAAUAAUUCUUAUGAAGA